UAAUUUUAUUCUCUACGUCUCAUCUUUACAACUCCUUUAUCUCCAUCUCCCACGUUCAUCUGUUUCCACCCACGUUCAACCAUUCCUCUCCGUCUCCCACUCUUCUCUUCUCUCCUUGCCCUCUUCUCUUUUGUCCCUGCCCUCUGCUCUUCCUCCGUCACAUCUUACAUCCACCCCGACCUUGCGAGAUUGAAUGCGACAGCAAUAAGGCGGAUGUUGCUAGGAGGAGAUCGAGAGGGGAACCGAAUAAAGAAAGCAGUCUAGUCUCGAAAAAUCAGUGAUGGAAUGGACCAUGAUCCUUUGAUGGAGAACACUUACCUGUGAAGCCUUUAGCCUAUCCUUCUAUUGAUAGGUUAAGUCCAGAGCCCCCGACCGGGGUGAGUGUCAAAUUCGUUUGAAUCGUCGCUAGGUUUAAUUAGGACCUUCUCGGGGCCACCCCCACCAGCAACACCAAAGGCGCCGCCCCCAUCAGCAAUGCCUUCGAUCCAGAUCCGCAGCCCAUCUCGCCGACCUCAACCCAAUAUUUGAGUUUGGAACUCACUACAAUGAGAAACCGACGAAAGACAAAAGAGGACCUAACAUAAGAUGCUACGGGUGGUGAACUCCAGUUUGUUGUGGGCCGACAACCAAAUCCCUACUUGACUGUGUAAUUCCAAUAUUCUAUAUAUUCGUCCAUCAAAAUUGAAGUCAGGAAUGAAAAAGGACUGAAGGUAGAAAUUCAUUGGAAGUGAAGCCCAAAUGUGUUUGAAGGUAA
Long non-coding RNA from Rhododendron vialii, 754 nucleotides. RefSeq lists it as uncharacterized. The transcript is spliced from 3 exons. The record is from RefSeq and is a predicted model, not a curated record. Lineage: Eukaryota; Viridiplantae; Streptophyta; Magnoliopsida; Ericales; Ericaceae.